UACGUAGGGGGCAAGCGUUGUCCGGAAUUAUUGGGCGUAAAGAGCGUGUAGGCGGUCCGGUAAGUCAGCUGUGAAAGUCAAGGGCUCAACCCUUGAAAGCCGGUUGAUACUGUCGGGCUAGAGUCCGGAAGAGGCGAGUGGAAUUCCCGGUGUAGCGGUGAAAUGCGCAGAUAUCGGGAGGAACACCAAUGGCGAAGGCAAUCCCCUGGACCUGUACUGACGCUCAUGCACGAAAGCGUGGGGAGCAAACAGG
This 253-nucleotide ribosomal RNA is filed under the name uncultured bacterium. RNAcentral describes it as "partial 16S ribosomal RNA". It matches the Rfam family "Bacterial small subunit ribosomal RNA", at positions 524 to 776 of the family's 1533-position model. The record is from RNAcentral.